Molecule: long non-coding RNA, 401 nt
Filed under: Anser brachyrhynchus (Pink-footed goose)
Lineage: Eukaryota; Metazoa; Chordata; Aves; Anseriformes; Anatidae
Description: lncRNA (ENSABRG00000000744.1)
Source: RNAcentral
CAGGAUGUUUCAGUACAUAGAGGCAAGAGGAAGCCCUGAGACUUUGGUCACAUCUUUAGGUCCUGACUAUCAUGAAGAUGCAAUUGGAGUACCAAAAUCACCCUAUGAAAGAUGUUUUAUCAAGUACAGGCAGCCACUGCCACGACUACAGAGGAAGGAUGGUGGAGCAUACUUGCUAGAUGGAAGAAAGAGAUACUGCCAUUGCACAGCCGACCAAGAUCCUCUCACCUUUUAGAGCUUAUGUCUUCUUCCUCCAAAUGCUACUUAAGCUAUUUUUUCCAUCCAUGCCAGAAGGAAAUCUUGUCCAGGUAAGUCUCGGUGGAGAUUGCUAGUAUCUCUCAAUUUAUGGAUUUAUGGUUUAUUCAUCAUAGAGAAAAUAAAUGAUGAUUUCUGCUUAAGCA